RNAcentral lists this ribosomal RNA (373 nucleotides) under uncultured bacterium. RNAcentral's name for it is "bacterial SSU rRNA". It matches the Rfam family "Bacterial small subunit ribosomal RNA", at positions 527 to 898 of the family's 1533-position model. The record is from RNAcentral.
GUAGGUGGCAAGCGUUAUCCGGAAUUACUGGGCGUAAAGCGCACGCAGGCGGCUUAGCAAGUUCGACGUGAAAGCUCCCGGCUUAACUGGGAGAGGUCGUUGAAGACUGCUGGGCUUGAGGCAAGGAGAGGGGUGUAGAAUUCCCGGUGUAGUGGUGGAAUGCGUAGAUAUCGGGGGGAAUACCAGUGGCGAAAGCGGCACCCUAGCCUUAGCCUGACGCUCAGGUGCGAAAGCGUGGGGAGCGAACGGGAUUAGAUACCCCGGUAGUCCACGCUGUAAACGAUGAACACUAGGUGUAGGGGAUGUGAAAGUUCUCUGUGCCGAAGCCAACGCGUUAAGUGUUCCGCCUGGGGAGUACGGCCGCAAGGCUAAA